Molecule: long non-coding RNA, 1039 nt
Filed under: Apteryx owenii (little spotted kiwi)
Lineage: Eukaryota; Metazoa; Chordata; Aves; Apterygiformes; Apterygidae
Description: lncRNA (ENSAOWG00000016871.1)
Source: RNAcentral
CAGGUGUCUGGGAUGGGGGGAGACCUGGUGUCUGGGAUGGGGGGAGACCUGGUGUCCGGGAUGGGGGGAGACCUGGUGUCUGGGAUGGGGCCCAGGCGUCCGGGAUGGGGGGAGACCUGGUGUCCGGGAUGGGGGGAGACCUGGUGUCCGGGAUGGGGGGGGACCCGGUGUCCGGGAUGGGGGGGGACCCGGUGUCCGGGAUGGGGCCCAGGCGUCCACAAAGGGGGCCCAGGUGUCCGGGAAGGGGCCCAAGCGUCCAGGACAGGGUGGGGCCUGGUGUCCGGGAUGGGGCCCCGGUGUCCGGGACGGGGGGGGACCUGGUGUCCGGGAUGGGGCCCAGGCGUCCGGGAGGGGCCCUGGUGUCCGGGAUGGGACCCAGGCGUCUGGGACGGGGGGGGGACCUGGUGUCCAGGAUGGGGCCCAGGUGUCCAAGAUGGGGCCCAGGUGUCCGGGUUGGGGGCCCAGGCGUCCGGGAGGGGCCCUGGCGUCCGGGAUGGGGCCCAGGUGUCCGGGUCAAGGGCCCAGGUGUCCAGGAUGGGGCCCAGGUGUCCGGGUCAGGGGCCCAGGCAUCCAGGACGGGGGGGGACCCGGUGGCCGGGAAGGGGCCCAGGCGUCCGGGGAAAGGGCCCAGGCAUCCGGGACGGGGCCCCUGGUGUCCAGGAUGGGGGCCCAGGUGUCCGGGAAGGGGCCCAGACGUCCGGGAUGAGGGCCCAGGCGUCCUGGAAGGGGCCCAGGCGUCUGGGAAGGGCCCCAGGUGUCCGGGACGGGGACCCAACAUCUGGGAUAGGGGCCCCAGUGUCUGGGGAAAGGGCCCAGGCGUCCGGGAAGGGGCCCAGGCAUCCAGGAAGGGGCCCAGGCGUCUGGGCCGAGCCCCCCCCCCCCACACACACACCUGUAGGGCAGCAGGUGGAGGCCGAACGGAGCCACCAGCUUGAUCAGCAGCGUGGGCAGGAUGUCGGCCAGCAGCACCGCCUGCAGGGGGCGGGGCCGGGGUGAGCCACGCCCCCAGGGUGAGGCCACGCCCCCUCGGAUAGGCCAC